AACCCGGUAAAAUUUACUCAGUUCAACCCCUAAACAAAACCCAAUACAAAAAUGCAAACUCAACAGAGUAAACUCAAUACGAAACCUAUUUCAACCCCUAAACAAAUCUCUAUCUCCUUCAAACGCUGUCUCCAUCUCUCUGUCUCUGUCUCUCCUUCAAAUGCAAAUUCAACCCCUAAACAAAUCUCUAUCUCCUUUAAACGCUGUCUCUGUCUCUCUUCCCCUGCGACGGUAAACGAAUUCAACUAAGCUACAAACGCUUUGCCUCACAACCAACGGCUACAGGUCCCCAUUUGCCCAGUCUUUGGACCACAUUCCCAAGAAGUUCAGGGAAGAAAAUCUUAAAGAUGGAUGGCAGCCAAGUAGGCGAAUUUACAGGACAAGUCUGGAACUUUGGUAGAAGAAAGGGUGGUGAAAAUGGACAAAUAUAGCCAAGGCUUUGUGGUUGAGUUUCUAUUUCCUUUGAUAAUUUUGAGAAGCUGCCAAGGCUUUUGGUGUGGGCAUGGGAGGAAACCUUGCCGCUUUUACUUCAAAGUAGUUGUUUUCAUGGUAAAUUUUAAUCAAUCUCAUACUCAGGUACAUGGAUAGGAGAAUCGUCUAAUACAGGUUUCUUUUAAAUGUGCUAAUAGUAGGAGCUUCUUUACUAUUCUAUUUUCUGUAGGUUAUUUAUAGCUCCUGACAGCGAUUAUAUCUCCACAGCUAUACAGUUCAUCAAUAAGGCAAGGCCAUGGAUUACAUUGAUGGUCAUUGGCUGGGAAUAUGGUGCAAACAUGUUGACGAAGUACUUGGCAGAAGCUGGAGAGAAUACAUCGCUUACAGCUACCAUGUGCAUAGACAAUCCAUUUGACUUAGAGGAGGCUACAAGGUCCUUUCCUUAUCACAUGGCCAUUGGUCAAAAGUUCACUGUUGGACUGAUAGAUAUUCUAAGAUCUAAUAAGGAAACCCCCAAAUCAAAAACCAUAGCCCCUUCCUAUCAAAAAAGAAAAAAAGAAGAAGAAGAAGGAAAACAAUAGCUUCUCAUCCAUUUCUCUCUCCAAUCUCUAUGCUUCGCCUUUAGUGCACCUUCUCCUUUGUCUCUGCUCCUAAUGAUGAAUUGGGAUUGAAGGGAGCAAAAUCAAGAUGCUGUGGACGUCCUCUUUUGAUUCAAAUUCAUAAAAGCUUCCUUACUCUCUUUCUCUCUCCAUGUGGCGUGAGGUCAAAUAUUUGCUUUCUCUGUUCUAAAUAACAAUUUAUAGAACUCAAUGUUUUAUGUUAAAUAAAUAUAUGAUGUACUCUUCUAUAUAAUGCAGAUUUGUUGUAUUAUAUUCUUUCUCUACUCUUUUUGAGUCAUAGCAAAAGAAUUUGACAUUAGUAACUAUAUUCUAUUUAUUUAUUAUGAAAAUAAGAUUGUGAUCAUUAUUGCAAUUUUUUUAUUUGUUUAUUCAUAGAAUAUAUGUAACUAUGAAAAUAUCUUCAUUGCCAAUGGAUCUAUGGUAGUGGUAUUAAUCUUUUCGGCAUGUAUGUAUUUUUAUGGAGCUAAUAUACAGGAUUUCUUUUAUUGGGCACAAGCAUAUUGUG
Quercus lobata is the source of this 1557-nucleotide long non-coding RNA. RefSeq lists it as uncharacterized. The transcript is spliced from 6 exons. The record is from RefSeq and is a predicted model, not a curated record. NCBI's taxonomy places the organism in Eukaryota, Viridiplantae, Streptophyta, Magnoliopsida, Fagales, Fagaceae.